Molecule: long non-coding RNA, 338 nt
Organism: Homo sapiens (human)
Lineage: Eukaryota; Metazoa; Chordata; Mammalia; Primates; Hominidae
Gene: WEE2-AS1
Product: WEE2 antisense RNA 1
Source: Ensembl
UAUAUUACCUGAAAAAAAAAUGACAGGAUAGAUAUUGAAGAAAUAAUUUUUUAUAGGACUCUGGAGUGAAGGGAUUAAUAUUGACCAGAGCCAAUGAGGUCAUCUCAUCCUUGAGGGGAGCAGGUGUGAGCUUCAAAUGCUUAGGGCCUCUGGAAGGAAGCUUCCCUGUUGGAGAAAUCACCAACCGGCUCAGCAUGGUCUGAAUGAGGAUGACAAAAGAGAAGCCCCUAUGAGAAGGAUGGAAAACUCUUUGAAGAAAAAAACAACUAUUAUACAAUCAAGCUGUCCCUCUUCUCUUCCAGUUAUAUAGCCAAAGGAAAUAAAAUCACUAUCUCAAA